AUUGAACGCUGGCGGCAUGCCUUACACAUGCAAGUCGAACGGCAGCGGGGGAGAAGCUUGCUUUUCCUGCCGGCGAGUGGCGAACGGGUGAGUAAUACAUCGGAACGUGCCCUGUAGUGGGGGAUAACUAGUCGGAAGAUUAGCUAAUACCGCAUACGACCUGAGGGUGAAAGUGGGGGACCGCAAGGCCUCAUGCUAUAGGAGCGGCCGAUGUCUGAUUAGCUAGUUGGUGGGGUAAAGGCCUACCAAGGCGACGAUCAGUAGCUGGUCUGGGAGGACGAGCAGCCACACUGGGACCGAGACACGGCCCAGACUCCUCCGGGAGGCAGAAGUGGGGAAUUUUGGACAAUGGGCGAAAGCCUGAUCCAGCAAUGCCGCGUGUGUGAAGAAGGCCUUCGGGUUGUAAAGCACUUUUGUCCGGAAAGAAAUGGCUCUGGUUAAUACCUGGGGUCGAUGACGGUACCGGAAGAAUAAGGACCGGCUAACUACGUGCCAGCAGCCGCCGUAA
This 508-nucleotide ribosomal RNA is filed under the name uncultured bacterium. RNAcentral's name for it is "partial 16S ribosomal RNA". It matches the Rfam family "Bacterial small subunit ribosomal RNA", at positions 30 to 523 of the family's 1533-position model. The record is from RNAcentral.